UUCGGGGCAUACUGACGGUGAGAGGUACACGGUACUCCGUAGGAAGGGGUAAAAUCCUUUGAUCUAUGGAUGACCACCUGUGGCGAAGGCGGUCUACCAGAACACGUUCGACGGUGAGGGAUGAAAGCUGGGGGAGCAAACCGGAUUAGAUACCCGGGUAGUCCCAGCUGUAAACUAUGCAAACUCAGUGAUGCAUUGGCUUGUGGCCAGUGCAGUGCCGCAGAGAAGUCGUUAAGUUUGCCGCCUGGGAAGUACGUACGCAAGUAUGAAACUUAAAGGAAUUGGCGGGGGAGCACCACAAGGGGUGAAGCCUGCGGUUCAAUUGGAGUCAACGCCAGAAAUCUUACCCGGAGAGACAGCAGGAUGAAGGUCAAGCUGAAGACUUUACCAGACAAGCUGAGAAGUGGUGCAUGGCCGUCGCCAGCUCGUGCCGUGAGGUGUCCUGUUAAGUCAGGUAACGAGCGAGAUCCUUGCCUCUAGUUGCUACCAUUACUCUCAGGAGUAGUGGAGCGAA
This 514-nucleotide ribosomal RNA is filed under the name uncultured archaeon. RNAcentral's name for it is "bacterial SSU rRNA". It matches the Rfam family "Archaeal small subunit ribosomal RNA", at positions 585 to 1095 of the family's 1478-position model. The record is from RNAcentral.